RNAcentral lists this non-coding RNA (23 nucleotides) under Arabidopsis thaliana (thale cress). Lineage: Eukaryota; Viridiplantae; Streptophyta; Magnoliopsida; Brassicales; Brassicaceae. The record is from RNAcentral.
CCGCCACCACCACCACCAACGUC